GAUGAACGCUGGCGGCGUGCCUAAUACAUGCAAGUCGAGCGAACAGAUAAGGAGCUUGCUCCUUUGACGUUAGCGGCGGACGGGUGAGUAACACGUGGGUAACCUACCUAUAAGACUGGAAUAACUCCGGGAAACCGGGGCUAAUGCCGGAUAACAUUUAGAACCGCAUGGUUCUAAAGUGAAAGAUGGUUUUGCUAUCACUUAUAGAUGGACCCGCGCCGUAUUAGCUAGUUGGUAAGGUAACGGCUUACCAAGGCAACGAUACGUAGCCGACCUGAGAGGGUGAUCGGCCACACUGGAACUGAGACACGGUCCAGACUCCUACGGGAGGCAGCAGUAGGGAAUCUUCCGCAAUGGGCGAAAGCCUGACGGAGCAACGCCGCGUGAGUGAUAAAGGUCUUCGGAUCGUAAAACUCUGUUAUUAGGGAAGAACAAAUGUGUAAGUAACUGUGCACGUCUUGACGGUACCUAAUCAGAAAGCCACGGCUAACUACGUG
RNAcentral lists this ribosomal RNA (497 nucleotides) under uncultured bacterium. Its description in RNAcentral is "partial 16S ribosomal RNA". It matches the Rfam family "Bacterial small subunit ribosomal RNA", at positions 28 to 507 of the family's 1533-position model. The record is from RNAcentral.